AGUUCUACAUAAGGCAAGUCCCAACCAAACAAAGAGAAAGAAGACAAAGCCCACCGUUUCUGACCCCAGAUCAUUCGAACUAGGGGAAGAGGGAAAGCGAGCGAGGAGAAUGGCAGAGGGAACGAAGGGGAGAGGAGGAAUCCCCAGGCCUCCGUCCUGGGAAUGCGCUGGAGGCUACCCACCCUUGGUGACUGGGGACCCACUCAGCUCCAGCGGCGGGAAGUCAGACGGCGUUCGUCCUCAUGCGGUUUCUAAACUUCCUAAGAUAAAUCCACCAGAGAGCGCAGAGACCAGACCCGGGCCUGGGCCACCAACGCUGGGAAGGUGCCCUGCGGCAGCAGGGCUGAAGCCAGAAGAGGGAUCCUCGACCUUCGGGCGAGUUCUCUCUGUGGGGGGAGGCGGGAGCAGAGGCCGGGUCGGGGGGAAGGAGGAAUGUCUGGGUCACUGGAUGGGCCCCCUCCCCUCCCACUCCUUUCUCUCCGCUUCCCUGUCUGGGUCUCCGCUGGUUUUGAACUUUGUUGAGA
Vicugna pacos (alpaca) is the source of this 524-nucleotide non-coding RNA. The record is from RefSeq and is a predicted model, not a curated record. NCBI's taxonomy places the organism in Eukaryota, Metazoa, Chordata, Mammalia, Artiodactyla, Camelidae.